RNAcentral lists this ribosomal RNA (497 nucleotides) under uncultured bacterium. RNAcentral describes it as "partial 16S ribosomal RNA". It matches the Rfam family "Bacterial small subunit ribosomal RNA", at positions 28 to 507 of the family's 1533-position model. The record is from RNAcentral.
GAUGAACGCUGGCGGCGUGCCUAAUACAUGCAAGUCGAGCGAACGGACGAGAAGCUUGCUUCUCUGAUGUUAGCGGCGGACGGGUGAGUAACACGUGGAUAACCUACCUAUAAGACUGGGAUAACUUCGGGAAACCGGAGCUAAUACCGGAUAAUAUUUUGAACCGCAUGGUUCAAAAGUAAAAGACGGUCUUGCUGUCACUUAUAGAUGGAUCCGCGCUGCAUUAGCUAGUUGGUAAGGUAACGGCUUACCAAGGCAACGAUGCAUAGCCGACCUGAGAGGGUGAUCAGCCACACUGGAACUGAGACACGGUCCAGACUCCUACGGGAGGCAGCAGUAGGGAAUCUUCCGCAAUGGGCGAAAGCCUGACGGAGCAACGCCGCGUGAGUGAUGAAGGUCUUCGGAUCGUAAAACUCUGUUAUUAGGGAAGAACAUAUGUGUAAGUAACUGUGCACAUCUUGACGGUACCUAAACAGAAAGCCACGGCUAACUACGUG